Molecule: ribosomal RNA, 198 nt
Filed under: uncultured bacterium
Lineage: Bacteria
Description: partial 16S ribosomal RNA
Rfam family: Bacterial small subunit ribosomal RNA
Source: RNAcentral
AGCCUGCAACUCGGCUGCAUGAAGCCGGAAUCGCUAGUAAUCGCGGAUCAGAACGCCGCGGUGAAUACGUUCCCGGGUCUUGUGCACACCGCCCGUCACACCAUGGGAGUCGGGAACGCCCGAAGUCGGUGCCCCAACCGUAAGGAGGGAGCCGCCGAAGGCGGGCCCGGCGACUGGGUGAAGUCGUAACAAGGUAUC